Molecule: long non-coding RNA, 1321 nt
Filed under: Callithrix jacchus (white-tufted-ear marmoset)
Lineage: Eukaryota; Metazoa; Chordata; Mammalia; Primates; Cebidae
Description: lncRNA (ENSCJAG00000071062.1)
Source: RNAcentral
CUCAGGAUAGCAAUUUAGGUGGUUUAAGAUCAGACCUGUCUGACUACAAAGCCACCAGGGCAAACUGGAUGAGACUGAUGUAUAAACUGUAUCCGGUUCUCAAAGGCAAGCACAUCAUCAAAGUUCAGCCCUCUCCUUGCUCCAGUUCAUAUCUGAAGAAACAGAGGCACCUGAAGUCAUAUAUUUCCCUGAUAAAUCAUUUGCCAAAUUGUCCUCCCAUUAGCACAUGAGACAGAUGCACCAAGGCAGGAACCAGCCCUCAUGCAUGAGAGGGUCUGGCGCCUGGCUAAGGCUCAAUGUGCUAAAUGAAGAAAUAGCGGGAACAAUGGGCAAUAGAUCUGUGAUCCUCUGUCCCUCCACACACAUCCUUAGAUUAAAAGGAUCAUGGAGUCCCAGGUUCUGAAAAUAAAGCAGUAAGUAUGUAGCCAUCCAUUUCAUCCAACACUCAGAAGUGCAGUCUCUUACCACAAUAUCCUUUGGACAAGGCAGUGUUCAUCUCACAGGGCACCUCUCCACUGGUGAGAAAUGGAUGGUCUCCCAAAGCAGGCAGUUGUGUGUUCCAGUGGCCUGGCUACAUGGGAGAAAACAGUGCAGGCUUUAGAGGUGAAAGGCCAGAAUUUGCAAGUUGGCUGUACCACCAUUUGCCUGCAUAUUUUGAGGCAAGUUUCUUAGUAUGCCUGAAAUGUGUUAGAGAAAUUUUUUCUUUGAUGCUCAGCUGUAACUAAAAGAAGAUUGUCUUUGAAAUAGAAAUGAUGCCAAGCACUUCCACAGUUUUGGGGAGAAUUGAAUGGUAUACACAGACAACAGCUCUUAACAAAUCUAUAAGGAAUGUUGUGGAGAAGAAACCAAGGUGCCUUUCAUUAAUUCUUCCCACUAAACUAAUGGAGCCACUGCAUCUUGCAGACCAUCAGGAGAGCAGAAACAAAAGUAUUGGCUGGAAAAGUAAGUAAAUAUUUGACUUCUUUUUUUCAACUUGAGCUGAGAAGUUGGUUGGAAUUGCCCAUCUAAUGGGUUUUCUGGCAAACAUUUUAGAAUAUGUGUUUAAGACAGCUCAUAUAAGGAGAUACUUUGUUUUUCUUUCCCUGCGAUUACUACUACAAUAGACAUAUUUUCUGGACCAAAUAUCAGGCUGUGUUGUCUUAAAAAGACUACUUGGUUACAGGGAAAAUGAAGCCCAAUAAUCAAAGUGAAUGGAGAAAGGUCAUGACCUUGCAAUAAAGAAUACUGAAGAGGGCGGGGGAAAACGUCUGAAAUUCUAGUUCUUUUCUUGUCCUAACCAGUAUCCAGUGGGAGGCCUAGGCCUGCCUCUCCCUGUUCCCAG